RNAcentral lists this ribosomal RNA (497 nucleotides) under uncultured bacterium. Its description in RNAcentral is "partial 16S ribosomal RNA". It matches the Rfam family "Bacterial small subunit ribosomal RNA", at positions 28 to 507 of the family's 1533-position model. The record is from RNAcentral.
GAUGAACGCUGGCGGCGUGCCUAAUACAUGCAAGUCGAGCGAACAGACGAGGAGCUUGCUCCUCUGACGUUAGCGGCGGACGGGUGAGUAACACGUGGAUAACCUACCUAUAAGACUGGGAUAACUUCGGGAAACCUGAGCUAAUACCGGAUAAUAUAUUGAACCGCAUGGUUCAAUAGUGAAAGCCGUUUUUGCUGUCACUUAUAGAUGGAUCCUCGCCGCAUUAGCUAGUUGGUAAGGUAACGGCUUACCAAGGCGACGAUGCGUAGCCGACCUGAGAGGGUGAUCGGCCACACUGGAACUGAGACACGGUCCAGACUCCUACGGGAGGCAGCAGUAGGGAAUCUUCCGCAAUGGGCGAAAGCUUGACGGAGCAACGCCGCGUGAGUGAUGAAGGUCUUCGGAUCGUAAAACUCUGUUAUUAGGGAAGAACAAAUGUGUAAGUAACUAUGCACGUCUUGACGGUACCUAAUCAGAAAGCCACGGCUAACUACGUG